This 63-nucleotide ribosomal RNA is filed under the name Daniellia pilosa. RNAcentral describes it as "partial 26S ribosomal RNA". It matches the Rfam family "Eukaryotic large subunit ribosomal RNA", at positions 1 to 59 of the family's 3401-position model. The record is from RNAcentral. Lineage: Eukaryota; Viridiplantae; Streptophyta; Magnoliopsida; Fabales; Fabaceae.
AAUGCGACCUCAGCUCAGGCGGGGCUACCCGCUGAGUUUAAGCAUAUCAAUAAGCGGAGGAAA